GUUUUUCCAUUUUUCUCCUUGAUCCCAAGUUAAUAAGUGCUCCCAAGAAGCCCAUGCAUACUCAUAUAAACAACAAAACCCCACACCCAGCAUAGCACAAUGAUUCUCUUGUAUUACCUCAUUAAAGCAAUUGCAAAUUCUGCAAAUCUUUAUGCCUUCCUUCUUGUUCUUAUCUUAAACCUUUCUUCUUUACCAUCUUUAACAUGGGCUGCCACUGAUGUUUCAGUUUAUGAAUCCUUCCUCCAAUGCCUGCAAAACAACACAAACCCACAAGACAACAUCUCAGAGAUUGUCUAUUACCAGACAAACGCAUCUUACGCUUCAGUUCUUGAAGCCUACAUUCGAAACGCCCGCUUGAUUAACUCCACAACCGCAAAACCAAAACCACUAAUCAUUUUAACCCCUAAACAGAUUUCCCAUGUCCAAGCCUCUGUUAUCUGCUCCAAAAAGGUUGGUUACCAACUCAAAAUCCGCAGUGGCGGCCAUGACUAUGAAGGGAUUUCUUAUAUCUCAGACCAUCCCUUUUUCCUUCUUGAUAUGUUUAAUCUUCGAUCCAUGGAAGUAGAUGUUAAAAAUGAAACUGCUUGGGUUCAGAGUGGUGCUACUCUUGGUGAACUUUAUUAUAAAAUCAGGAAGAAGAGCAAAGUUCAUGGUUUCCCUGCUGGGGUUUGUUUUACAAUUGGCGUUGGUGGGCAUUUUAGUGGGGGUGGUUAUGGGAACAUGUUGAGGAAAUAUGGGCUGGCGGUGGAUAACGUGCUUGAUGCUCAAAUAGUUGAUGUGAAUGGAAAGCUUUUGGAUAGAAAGUCAAUGGGUGAGGAUCUUUUUUGGGCAAUUCGAGGGGGUGGAGGGGCAAGUUUUGGAGUAAUAAUCUCUUACAAGAUCAAGCUUGUUCUUGUUCCUGAGAUUGUUACUGUUUUCAAAGUUGAAAGAUACAUUGAAGAGGAUGCUACUGAUGUUGCCCAUAAAUGGCAAUUUGUUGCUCCGAAAACAGAUAAUGAUCUCUUCAUGAGGAUGCUUUUGCAGCCAGUAACCUCCAAGACAAAGAAAAAGGAGAAGACCAUUAGAGUAUCGAUUUAUGCUUUUUAUUUAGGAAACGCUGAUGCUCUUGUGUCUUUAUUGGGCAAGGAAUUCCCUGAAUUGGGGUUGAAGAAGGAGAAUUGCAACGAGACGAGUUGGAUUCAGUCAGUUGUCUGGUGGGCUAAUUCCAUCAAUAUAACAUCCCCUAAAGAUCUGCUUGAUAGAAAUCUUAACUCGGCCAAUUUCUUGAAGAGGAAAUCAGAUUAUGUGCAGACACCAAUAUCAAAAGAUGGGUUGAAUUGGAUUUUUCAGAGAAUGAUUGAAUUGGGAAAAACUGGGUUAGUUUUCAAUGCUUAUGGUGGAAGAAUGAAUGAAAUUCCUGCCACAGAUGCUCCAUUUCCACAUCGGGCUGGGAAUUUGUUCAAGAUCCAGUAUUCAGUAAAUUGGCAACAAGCAGGAAGCACAGCAGAGAACGAAUACUUAACUCAGAUAAGGAAGCUUUACAGCUAUAUGACCCCAUUUGUGUCCAAAAACCCAAGAAGUGCAUUCUUGAACUACAGGGAUCUUGACAUUGGUGUGAUGGAAUCUGGUAAAAACAGCUACGAAGAGGGUAGUGUUUAUGGGUUCAAGUACUUCAAAGGAAACUUCGAUAGAUUGGUGAAAGUGAAGACUGCAGUUGAUCCAGAGAAUUUCUUCAGGAAUGAGCAGAGCAUCCCUACUCUUCCAAGAGACUACUCAGGCGUAGACGUGAACAGGCAUUCAACGUCCGUCGUUAAGCUAAUAGGAGUAAUGAUAUAUUUACUCAGCUUUUCUUGAAGGAUUUCAUGGUGAUGAAUUUUUGUCCUGUAAGGACUCCAAAAGGCUUAUACAUGAAAGCAGGUUUUGUCCUUUUUUAUUUUUUUUGGAAAAAACACAAACUGCAAAGAAACAAGCUUAAACUAAGCAGCUUCUGGGAAAAGUCACACCGCAGAUAUCCUGGAGAAGAUGGCUGGACAAACCAUGCGGAGGUUCGAAGUUUGCCUUUGUAGAAGGAAAGUAGGUUUUGUCUUUUAUAAUUUCCAUGGGAAAAAAGAAGAUAAUUUUAAGGAGUUGCUAUUUGUAGAUGGGAAAAUAUUCAGCAUAAAAAAGAAAUGGAAAAUUUGCAUUAUAAUUAAA
RNAcentral lists this unclassified non-coding RNA (2172 nucleotides) under Hevea brasiliensis (rubber tree). Lineage: Eukaryota; Viridiplantae; Streptophyta; Magnoliopsida; Malpighiales; Euphorbiaceae. The record is from RNAcentral.